Molecule: ribosomal RNA, 215 nt
Filed under: uncultured bacterium
Lineage: Bacteria
Description: partial 16S ribosomal RNA
Rfam family: Bacterial small subunit ribosomal RNA
Source: RNAcentral
ACGCUCGACACCUACGGGGCAGCAGUGAGGAAUAUUGGUCAAUGGGCGCUAGCCUGAACCAGCCAAGUAGCGUGAAGGAUGAAGGCUCUAUGGGUCGUAAACUUCUUUUAUAUAAGAAUAAAGUGCAGUAUGUAUACUGUUUUGUAUGUAUUAUAUGAAUAAGGAUCGGCUAACUCCGUGCAGCAGCCGCGGUAAUCUGAGCGGGCUGGCAAGGC